UACGUAAGGACCGAGCGUUGUCCGGAAUCAUUGGGCGUAAAGGGUACGUAGGCGGUUAGACAAGUUUAAAGUGAAAGGGUAUGGCUCAACUAUAGAAAGCUUUUAAAACUGUUUAACUUGAGAGAUGGAAAGGAUAGUGGAAUUCCUAGUGUAGCGGUGAAAUGCGCAGAUAUUAGGAGGAAUACCGGUGGCGAGGGCGACUUCCUGGACAUAAACUGACGCUGAGGUACGAAAGCGUGGGGAGCAAACAGG
Molecule: ribosomal RNA, 252 nt
Filed under: uncultured bacterium
Lineage: Bacteria
Description: partial 16S ribosomal RNA
Rfam family: Bacterial small subunit ribosomal RNA
Source: RNAcentral